GACGAACGAUGGCGGCGUGCUUAACACAUGCAAGUCGAACGGAAAGGCCCUGCUUGCAGGGUACUCGAGUGGCGAACGGGUGAGUAACACGUGAGUGAUCUGCAACGCACUUCGGGAUAAGCCUGGGCAACUGGGUCUAAUACCGGAUAGGAGCCAUUUUUAGUGUGAUGGUUGGAAAGUUUUUUCGGUGUAGGUUGAGCUUGCGGCCUAUCAGCUCGUUGGUGGGGUUAUGGCCUACCAAGGCGGCGACGGGUAGCCGGCCUGCGCGGGGGGUCGGCCACAUUGGGGCUGAGUUCCGGCCCAGGCUCCGACGGGAGGCAGCAGUGGGGAAUAUUGCACAAGGGGCGCAGGCCUGAUGCAGCGGCGCCGCGUCGGGGAUGACGGCCUUCGGGUUGUAGACUCCUUUCGCUAGGGACGAUGCUUUUUGUGACGGUACCUAGAUAAGAAGCACCGGCUAACUACGUG
RNAcentral lists this ribosomal RNA (465 nucleotides) under uncultured bacterium. Its description in RNAcentral is "partial 16S ribosomal RNA". It matches the Rfam family "Bacterial small subunit ribosomal RNA", at positions 28 to 507 of the family's 1533-position model. The record is from RNAcentral.